This 496-nucleotide ribosomal RNA is filed under the name uncultured bacterium. Its description in RNAcentral is "partial 16S ribosomal RNA". It matches the Rfam family "Bacterial small subunit ribosomal RNA", at positions 28 to 507 of the family's 1533-position model. The record is from RNAcentral.
GAUGAACGCUGGCGGCGUGCCUAAUACAUGCAAGUCGAGCGAACAGACGAGGAGUUUGCUCCUCUGACGUUAGCGGCGGACGGGUGAGUAACAUGUGGAUAACCUAUCUAUUAGACUGGAAUCACUUCGGGACACCGUUGAUACUACCGGAUAAUAUCUUGAAACGCAUGGUUCAAUAGUGACAGACGGUUUUGCUGUCACUUAUAGAUGGAUCCGCGCCGCAUUAGCUUAUUGGGAGGGUAACGGCUUACUCAGGCAACGAUGCGUAGCCGACCCGAGGGGCGAUCAGCCACACUGGAACUGAGACACGGUCCAGACUCCUACGGGAGGCAGCAGUAGGGAAUCUUCCGCAAUGGGCGAAAGCUUGACGGAGCAACGCCGCGUGAGUGAUGAAGGUCUUCGGAUCGUAAAACUCUGUUAUUAGGAAAGAACAAAUGUGUAAGUAACUAUGCACGUCUUGACGGUACCUAAUCAGAAAGCCACGGCUAACUACGUG